CCUACGGGAGGCAGCAGUAGGGAAUAUUGGGCAAUGGAGGCAACUCUGACCCAGCCAUGCCGCGUGCAGGAAGAAGGCGUUAUGCGUUGUAAACUGCUUUUAUAUAGGAAGAAAUAGACCUUGCGAGGUAAGUUGACGGUACUAUAUGAAUAAGCACCGGCUAACUCCGUGCCAGCAGCCGCGGUAAUACGGAGGGUGCAAGCGUUGUCCGGAUUUAUUGGGUUUAAAGGGUGCGUAGGCGGUUUAUUAAGUCAGUGGUGAAAGACGGUCGCUCAACGAUUGCAGUGCCAUUGAUACUGGUAGACUUGAGUGGGAUUGAGGUAGCUGGAAUGGAUAGUGUAGCGGUGAAAUGCAUAGAUAUUAUCCAGAACACCAAUUGCGUAGGCAAGUUACUAAGUCUCAACUGACGCUGAGGCACGAAAGUGUGGGUAUCAAACAGGAUUAGAUACCCUGGUAGUCCACACUGUAAACGAUGAUAACUAACUGUUGGCUUUCGGGUCAGUGGUACAGAGAAAUCGUUAAGUUAUCCACCUGGGGAGUACGCCGGCAACGGUGAAACUCAAAGGAAUUGACGG
Molecule: ribosomal RNA, 575 nt
Filed under: uncultured bacterium
Lineage: Bacteria
Description: bacterial SSU rRNA
Rfam family: Bacterial small subunit ribosomal RNA
Source: RNAcentral